Long non-coding RNA from Rhagoletis pomonella (apple maggot), 678 nucleotides. RefSeq lists it as uncharacterized. The transcript has 4 exons. The record is from RefSeq and is a predicted model, not a curated record. NCBI's taxonomy places the organism in Eukaryota, Metazoa, Arthropoda, Insecta, Diptera, Tephritidae.
UCAGUUCUUCUUGACCUGAAAAAUCGCCGCGCUUAUAUUUUACAUUCCUACCGAAAAUCCAAAUAAUCAGUGAAAUAGCGAGUGAUAGUGGGCUGCAAAACGUAAAUUUUAAUAGUGGAGGAGUACCACAUUUUAAGCUAUAGUGGAAAUUUUAUAUUGGAUCAAUUUAAAAUUAGCUUUAGUGAUAAAUUGUUUUCAGUGUUAGGUGUUUUACUAAUUUGCAUGAGUGUCCGAAACUCGAGUAGUACUAGCUUUUUAUGGCACAUCAGGCGCUCAUUGCAAACGCGUAGUGCGAAAAAGAUGAAAACAAUUUCAUGAUACUACAAGUGGUCUGAAUCAGUGAUACUAAACUAUUUGAGAAUGCCGUCGACACCGUAUGAUUUGGUGCAGGAUGAUCAGGAUUUGCGUGUGCCGCUGCAUGCCGAACAGGCCUUCUUCCAAGGCAUCACAUUUCAAGCCAAGCUUGGAAAACCUGAAAAAUAAAGAAUCAUUGUAAAUUACGGUUAGAGGUACGAACAAAAAUACGUGAGUUGUUGUUGCCGUUGUAGAGGCUAUUGAAACGUUGUCGUCAAGCUCAACAAACGUUGGACCCAGAAAACGUGCUCUUCGCACGUGAUCGGACCAAAGGGGGAGGGUUGCAAGCUGAGUGAGUUUUAGAGAGUACCAAAAAUAUUGCCA